CCCUGCAGGUGACGGUGACAGUCUACACCCAUCCAACCCUUCCCCAGCUCUUACCUUGGGGUGGGACGUGCAGAAGGGAGAGGUGGUGGGAGAUAGGUCGAGACCACCAUUCAUGCAGGAACCCUUGUUCCCACCUCCCCCAGGGCCUGAGAGGAGCAUGAGGAGCUGGAAGAAUGGUGGACUGUGGGCUGCAAGGGGUAAGCAAGCAGGUGGUCAAGUGCCUCUGCCAGCUUUGCUCCAUAUGAGCUGUGACCUGGAGUCUAUUGUUUUGCCUCUCUGAACCUCAGUGGCCUCAUCUGUAAGAUCUCAAUUGACAAUGGGCUUGCCUCACAGGGCUGUGGUGAGGAUUCAGUGAGACUUUAUUGCAUGUAAAUUCUUUAGAUUUAAAAAAUAUGAAUCCAAUAAAUGGUAACAGUUUCUGUCUGUUGCCAUGGUUACUGCCUGGCUCCCACAGCACACAAUGGGCAGUGACCCAGGCUCAGUGCUCCCAAUUGGAGUGGGUGUAGGGGAAGGCAUCAAUGAAUUGCAGAAAAUCGAUCUGUGAGGGUGGUUCUCAGACCAAAGCCAUUGUUGGAAUCCCCCCAGGGAAGCUGAUCUGAGAAAGGAUAAAAUCAUGUUAGUAGCACUCUCUGAGUGUUAACUGUGUGCCAGGCCUUGUCCUAAAGGCCCGAUGUGUCCUACUUGUUUUAAUCCCCACAGUGUCUCUAAGAGACAGGAGCUAUUAUAUCCCAUUCCACAGGUGGAGAAACUGAGGUGUAGGGCCUUGAAGCUCUAGACUACACAAUUUGUAGGUGGUGGCAUUUGAACCUGGAUGGUAAGAGGCCUGAGGGCCACACUGUGAAGUGCUCUCUGCUGAGGUUAGCUGUGCUGGCCCUGCCUUGUGGGCCACCUUAGCUAAUUAAAUCAGUAUGUGCAAAUGGAGUCUUCCCCUCCAGCCAAUCCUUUACCUACCCACUUGCUGCCAUGUUCUAGGCCUUGCUGGGAUUGUUGCUGCAUUUGACAGUAUGGAAGCUGAGGCUCAGUGAGAAGCGGGGAUGCCGCAAGAUCCCCUCAGUCAGUCUGUCAGAGGUAGACAGGAUGGGGGCCCAGGUCUAUUGCAGCACUGCUGCACUUAAGACAUCACCUCCUUCUGGAAGCUCUCCCCAAUUACCUCCCAGAUAGCUCAGGUCCCCUAUAUACCUUCCCAGCACUGAUCAAGGGAUAUUGGAGAGAUUCUUUUAUAUCUGAGACCCGAGGCUCUGUGAGGUCCAGGGUUGAGGGGGUCUCAGUCAUUUCAGUAUCUUUGCUACACAGAGAUGUUCAAUGGAUCUGAAUGCGUGAAUGAAUGCAGCCCCUGACACAUACAGGCCAGAGGCAGAGGUGGCAGCAUAAGGAGAUCAGGUGGUGCUGCAAGGAAGUAGGAAAACCAAAGAGGCCUUUAUCCAUCCAUCCAUCUAUGCACCCACCCAUGCAGUCUACAAAUAUGUAUGGAGCAUCUACUAUGUGCCAGGCACUGAGCUACAGACACAGCAUGAACAAGAUGGACAAAUUCCUGCUUCUUGGAGCUGGCAUUCUGACGGGAGAAUGAUACAGUUUGGGUAUUUGUCCCUUCCAAAUCUGAUGCUGAAAUGUGAUCCCCAGCCAGGUGUGGUGGCUCAUGCCUGUAAUUCCAGCACUUUGGGAGGCCAAGAUGGGUGGAUCACUUGAGGCCAGGAGUUUCAGACCAGCCUGGCCAACAUGGUGAAACCUCGUCUCUACUAAAAUACAAAAAAAAAAAUAGCCAGGUGUGGUGGCGCAUAUCUGUAAUCCCAGUAUUUGGGAGGCUGAGGCAGGAGAAUCGCUUGAACUGGGGAGGCAGAGGUUGUAGUGAGCCGAGAUUACUCUGCCUGGGUGACAGAGUGAGAUCUUGUCUCAAAAAAAAAAAAAAAAAAAAAAAAGAGAAAAGAAAAGAAAAGAAAUGUGAUCCCCAGUGUUGGAGACAGGACCUGGUGGGAGGCAAAUCCCUCAUGAAUGACUUGGUAACCCGGAGGUAAUGAGUGAGUCCUCACUCUGAUAGUUCACACAAGAGCUGCUUGUUUGGACUCUUUUUCCCUCUCUUGUCACGUGACGUGCCUGCUUCCUCUUUGCCUCCUGCCUUGAGUAAAAACUUCCUGAGGCCUCCCCAUAAGCCAAGCAGUUACUGGCAAGAUGCUUCUUGCAGAGCCUGCAUAACCCUGAGCCAGAUAAACUUCUUUUCUCUGUAAAUUACACAGUCUCUAGUAUUCCUUUAUAGCAAUGUAAAGUGGACAAAUAUAGGGAGACAAUGCAUAAACAAAUAACUAAAUGAUUUCCAAGCCAUAAUAAGGGCUGCGGAGGCAUGGAUCAUGAGUUCUUAGGGAGGAUGGUUACGGAAGGCUUCUGGAAAAAGGUGAUAUUUGUACUGAAACCCAAAUAAAGGGAGACAGUGGGCCCUGUGAUGAAUCAGGGAAGAGCGUUCCAGGUGGAGAGAACAGUGAGGGCAGAGUGCCCAGGGCAGGAAGAACAAGCUCAGUACGAGGGAGCCAGGGUAGCUAGAGGAAUAUGAGCAGAGGGGAGGGAGGUGGGAGAGGAGGCCACCAAGGUCAUGAGAGGAGGGGACAGGGAUGGGAUGGACUCCCAGGUUUGGGGCCUGAGUGCCUGGGAGGAUAGGGAGGAAAGCUGGAGAGGACUGUUAGUUUCCAAGGGAGAUGCUGAAGGACCUGGAGCUCGGGAGGUCUGGGCAGAAGGUAAAGCUAUGGAUGCUGGGCCAGGUGCGGUGGCUCACGCUAUAAUCCCAGCACUUUGGGAGCUCUAGGUGGGUGGAUCAUGAGGUCAGGAGUUUGAGACCAACCUGGCCAACGUGGUAAAACCCUGUCUCUAGUAAAAAUACAAAAAAUUAGCCAGGCAUGGUGAUGUGUGCCUAUAAUCCCAGCUACUCACGAGGCUAAGGCAGGAGAAUCUCCUGAACCCAGGAGGUGAAGAUUGAACUGAGAUCACGCCAUUGCACUCCAGCCUGGGUGACAGCGAGACUCUGUUCCCCCCACAAAAAAAGAAAUAUGGGUGCUGUGAUGGUAGACAUGGUUUUGAAAGCCUCAGGAUCAGACAGGGUUCCCUGGGGAGAGGCCCAGAGACAGCAACGUUUAGAGAUCAUCUAGGGGGCCAGGUGUGGUGGCAUACACCUGUAAUCCCUACACUUUAGGAAGCUGAGGUGGUGGAUCACUUGAGAUCAGGAGUUUGAGACCAACCUGGCCAACAUGAUGAAUCCCCAUCUCUACUAAAAAUACAAAAGUUAGGCAUGGUGGCAUGCACCUGCAGUCCCAGCUACUCAGGAGGGUGAGGUGGGAUUAUUACUUGAACACAAGAGGUCGAGGUUGCAGUGAGCCAAGAUCACGCCACUGCACUCGAGCCUAGGCAACAGAGCAAGAUUUUGUCUCGAAAAAAAAAAAAAAAAGAUUUUCCAGGGGUGGAAGGACCAAAAAGAACCAAAAAAGGAAUGACCAGGCUCAUACAAGGAGGUUGGAGAAGGAUGGGUGCCGUGGCUCAGCUUGUAAUCCCAGCACUUUGGGAAACUGAGGUGGGAGGAUCAUUUGAGGCCAGGAUUUUAAGACUAGUCUGGGCAACAUAGCAAGACCCUGUCUGUACUGGAAAAAAAAAAAAAAAAAGGAGGUAGGAGAACACCACAGCACCAUUGCAGGGGCUCAGGUAGGUGGUCUCAGGGAGGGAGGGGGCAGGCCUGGGGCCCAAGGCUACCAGUGGGUAAGGCAAGGAUCUGUGUGACCCCAGGCAGGAGAAGACUGGGGUGUGGUGGGGAGUGCACUAGGACCUUAGGCCCAAGUAACAGGUUUUCCAAGGGACACAUGGGGCCAAGGAGAUUUUGUUCUGGUCCUGUCCCUCAGAGGCAGGGCUAGGGCAAUGGAAGACCCUCUUUCUUGCCCUGGGAAAUCAUGAGAGUGGUGCUGGGCCUAGACCUGGAGAGGGUAUGUCACAGGCUGGACAGGGCAGACAUGUGGGUAUCAACCUCGAUUCUAUACCUUCUCUGGGCCUGAAGCCUAUCUCUUCAGUGGGGUGAAAAUGUGACCCUUGCCCUGACCCCAGGGGACUGUGAGACUUGGACAGGAGGAGCCUAGAGGUCAUUCAUGCUUUUUAAAUUUUAUUUUAGAAUCGGGGUCUCACUUUGCCAACCAGGCUGGAAUGCAGUGGCAUCAUCACAGCUCACUGCAGCCCCAAACUCCAACUCCUGGGCUCAAGCAAUCCUCCCACCUCAGUCUCCUAAAUAGCUGGUACUAUAGGCACGUGGGACUAAAGUACUAUAGGGCUAAAGGCAGCUGGGACUAUAGGACUAUCGGACUAAAAUCACCCAGACUGGUUAUUUUUUAAUUUCGCUCUUGUUGCCCAGGCUGGAGUGCGAUGGUGUGAUCUCGGCUAACUGCAACCUCCAUCUCCUGGGGUCAAGCGAUUCUCCUGCCUCAGCCUGCCAAGUAGCUGGGAUUUCAGGCAUGCGCCACCACACCCGGAUGUCCUUAUAAGAGGAAAUUUGGAUAUGCAAAGAGAUACCAGUGUUGUGCACACACAGAGGAAAGGCCAUGUGAGGACACAGUGAGAAGACACUCUCUGCAAACCAUCAAAGAAACCAAACCUGCUGACACCUUGACUUUGGACCUCCAGCCUCCAGAACUGUGAGAAAUAAACUUCUGUUGUUGAA
Callithrix jacchus (white-tufted-ear marmoset) is the source of this 4678-nucleotide non-coding RNA. NCBI's taxonomy places the organism in Eukaryota, Metazoa, Chordata, Mammalia, Primates, Cebidae. The record is from RefSeq and is a predicted model, not a curated record.